This 556-nucleotide ribosomal RNA is filed under the name Ophioceras sp. RNAcentral describes it as "eukaryotic LSU rRNA". It matches the Rfam family "Eukaryotic large subunit ribosomal RNA", at positions 1 to 560 of the family's 3401-position model. Lineage: Eukaryota; Fungi; Ascomycota; Sordariomycetes; Magnaporthales; Ophioceraceae. The record is from RNAcentral.
UCAAGGUUGACCUCGGAUCAGGUAGGAAUACCCGCUGAACUUAAGCAUAUCAAUAAGCGGAGGAAAAGAAACCAACAGGGAUUGCCUCAGUAACGGCGAGUGAAGCGGCAACAGCUCAAAUUUGAAAUCUGGCCUUCGGGUCCGAGUUGUAAUUUGCAGAGGAUGCGUUCGGCGACGCACUGACCGAGUCCCCUGGAAUGGGGCGCCAUAGAGGGUGAGAGCCCCGUAUGGUCGGCUGCUGAACCGGUGUAAUGCUCCUUCGACGAGUCGAGUAGUUUGGGAAUGCUGCUCUAAAUGGGAGGUAAAUUUCUUCUAAAGCUAAAUAUCGGCUGGAGACCGAUAGCGCACAAGUAGAGUGAUCGAAAGAUGAAAAGCACUUUGAAAAGAGGGUUAAAAAGCACGUGAAAUUGUUGAAAGGGAAGCGCCUAUUACCAGACUCUGUUCUUGGGGAUCAUCCGUCCUUCUGGGCGGUGCACUCCCCUUGGAUGGGGCCAGCAUCGGUUUUCGGCGGGGGAAAAGGACUUAGGGAAUGUGGCUCCCCUCGGGGAGUGUUAUA